CAGCGAAAUGCGAUACCUAGUGUGAAUUGCAGAAUUCCGCGAAUCAUCGAGUCUUUGAACGCAAGUUGCGCCCGAGGCUUGUCCCGAGGGCAUGCCUGCCUGAGCGUCACCGCACUCCCACCCGACGAACCCUCGUCGCGAGUGGAACUGGCCGUCCGGGGUCGGGCGUCGAUGCCCAGUGCCGCGGUCGGCUGAAAUGGAGCGUUCCGGACGUAGCCGGAGAGGGGGAUAGCGAGAAGGUGAUCCGCCUUCGGGCGGAGUCUAUUUUGACAGCGUCCCUCGAUCCGGAGGGUCCCACGGAACUCGGAGCGGGAGCUCGCCCGGUCGAUCGUCCGCGGUCGAUCGGGAGAGUCACACCACGGCUCGGACCUCAGAUCAGGCAAGAUUACCCGCUGAGUUUAAGCAUAUCACU
Molecule: ribosomal RNA, 412 nt
Filed under: Metzgeria furcata
Lineage: Eukaryota; Viridiplantae; Streptophyta; Jungermanniopsida; Metzgeriales; Metzgeriaceae
Description: eukaryotic LSU rRNA
Rfam family: 5.8S ribosomal RNA (bases 1-109)
Source: RNAcentral